RNAcentral lists this ribosomal RNA (411 nucleotides) under uncultured bacterium. RNAcentral's name for it is "bacterial SSU rRNA". It matches the Rfam family "Bacterial small subunit ribosomal RNA", at positions 94 to 518 of the family's 1533-position model. The record is from RNAcentral.
AGCGGCGGACGGGUGAGUAACACGUGGGUAACCUGCCUCAUAGAGGGAAUAGCCUCCGAAAGGAAGAUUAAUACCGCAUAAGAUUGUAAUAUCGCAUGGAUAUAGCAAUUAAAGGAGUAAUCCGCGUAUGAGAUGGACCCGCGUCGCAUUAGCUAGGUUGGUGAGGUAACGGCUCACCAAGGCGACGAUGCGUAGCCGACCUGAGAGGGUGAUCGGCCACAUUGGGACUGAGACACGGCCCAGACUCCUACGGGAGGCAGCAGUGGGGAAUAUUGCACAAUGGGGGAAACCCUGAUGCAGCAAACCGCCGCGUGAGUGAUGACGGUCUUCGGAUUGUAAAGCUCUGUCUUCAGGGACGAUAAUGACGGUACCUGAGGAGGAAGCCACGGCUAACUACGUGCCAGCAGCUGC